GCGCUAAAGAAGCAAAAAGCUCGUAAAAAUAUCUAACUAUCUAUCAUGUGCGAUAGUUAUAAUUUAGUCAGCUGUCGAAUUUAUGUCAAUUAUUUGGAGAAAUAUAAGCGCUAACGACAUUCAGUUAAGAGACCAGGUGACUGCCGUUCAAACCUCUUAAGUGGCAGGCGUACCGCAGCGUGUCCAUCGUCAGCGCAUCCACCCCACCUUCCCUGAUGAUCGCUUUGUCCAUUUCCAGCAACAGAAAUGCUCUAUACUUCAAUUUGUUCUUCCUAAAUAUCGUUCUCCGUAAACCAUGCAUUUUUAACAGAUGACCCUGGAAUUUAUAUAUAGAUAUGUUGACAACUAUGGUCCAGCCCACACAGGUGGAAGCGGGGUGAAAAUACUGCGAAAUUUAAUCAAUCAAAAGUAAACCUUAACUAGUAUGGCAUACAGAUGAAAACCGCAUGCCAAAGAAGCAUGAUGACGCACCACUCGCCUAACGUCUUUAGCAUGACGUUUUUCGCCGUAGAAAUUAUAGAUAAUCAAAAACAACAUGGGUUAUAACUUGGGAAAAAUAUGAGAUUACUGACUUUGAUUUUUUUAAGUCUAGCAGGACGCUUGUCUUUUAUGUUAGGUAGAUAUGUACAGUGUGAAUUGCGGACCGUUGGUAAAGGAAUAUUAUGUGGAUUAUGUAACAAAUAUUAUUACAAGUUAUUUGGUCGCAGGUGCUGUUGCUAAGCGAGAAGUUUAGGAUUAUAUGCUCAUAUUUUUCAAUUUCUCAGUAAUAUCAUGGUACCUGACAUUGCACUCAUUGUCAGAGAGAGUAUCUCUCUCUCUCCAGGAAUUUAUGACUUGGAUUGAUACAUACAUUAGUUAUAUGGAGCAAAGCGUGCAAUAGCAUAAAACAGAUCAUCAACAACACAUAGUUAUUAUAGUUAUUAACAAUAUGUUUGGUGUUUUUACUAGUAUUCCUUAUUUACUAUUGGUAGGUAGUCUAGUAUUUGGUUUCGAUGUAAUAUAUUACACACAUGCAAUUUACACUUGUAAUAUAGAUGCAUUUACUUUCGCUUACAAAGAAUUAGCAACUAUUUAGGCAUGGCAAUAUGAAAGUAUGGGUUAAAAUACAGGUAAAUAUUUUUUUUGCAAUGUGAAUACAACAUUGAUUCACACACAAUAGGCGGAAUCAACAGAGCAUACCAAAGUUGGCAGAUAAAACAUGUUAAAAAUACAAAGAGGAUAAAAACAUAAUCAUCACACAUAAUUGUAUAAAGUAGCACUACUUUAUAUGUAGUGUAUGAUGAUUAUAUCUUAUAUGAUUAUCUUAUGAUUAGUCUUGUAUAUCAAAUAUUCUCAACAAAAGGGUUAUUUCAAUGUGCAAGCU
Spodoptera frugiperda (fall armyworm) is the source of this 1363-nucleotide long non-coding RNA. RefSeq lists it as uncharacterized. The transcript is spliced from 3 exons. Lineage: Eukaryota; Metazoa; Arthropoda; Insecta; Lepidoptera; Noctuidae. The record is from RefSeq and is a predicted model, not a curated record.